RNAcentral lists this ribosomal RNA (486 nucleotides) under uncultured bacterium. RNAcentral's name for it is "partial 16S ribosomal RNA". It matches the Rfam family "Bacterial small subunit ribosomal RNA", at positions 28 to 523 of the family's 1533-position model. The record is from RNAcentral.
GACGAACGCUGGCGGCGUGCUUAACACAUGCAAGUCGAACGAUGAUCCUUGGAGCUUGCUCCUUGGGGAUUAGUGGCGAACGGGUGAGUAACACGUGAGUAACCUGCCCCAGACUCUGGGAUAAGCACUGGAAACGGUGUCUAAUACCGGAUACGAGCUUCAGCCGCAUGGCUAGGAGUUGGAAAGAAUUUCGGUCUGGGAUGGACUCGCGGCCUAUCAGCUUGUUGGGGAGGUAAUGGCUCACCAAGGCGACGACGGGUAGCCGGCCUGAGAGGGUGACCGGCCACACUGGGACUGAGACACGGCCCAGACUCCUACUGGAGGCAGCAGUGGGGAAUAUUGCACAAUGGGCGCAAGCCUGAUGCAGCAACGCCGCGUGAGGGAUGACGGCCUUCGGGUUGUAAACCUCUUUUAGUAGGGAAGAAGCGAAAGUGACGGUACCUGCAGAAAAAGCACCGGCUAACUACGUGCCAGCAGCCGCCGUAA